UGGGGAAUAUUGGACAAUGGGCGCAAGCCUGAUCCAGCCAUGCCGCGUGAGGGAUGAAGGCCCUAGUGUUGUAAAGCUCUUUCACCGGUGAAGAUAAUGACGGUAACCGGAGAAGAAGCUCCGGCUACCUUCGUGCCAGCAGCCGCGGUAAUACGAAGGGGGCUAGCGUUGUUCGGAUUUACUGGGCGUAAAGCGCACGUAGGCGGACUUUUAAGUCAGGGGUGAAAUCCCGGGGCUCAACCCCGGAACUGCCUUUGAUACUGGUAGUAUUGUGUUGGAGAGAGGGGAGUGGAAUUCCGAGUAGAGGGGUGAAAUGCGUAGAUAUUCGGGGGAACACCAGUGGCGAAGGAGGCUCACUGGCUGGAUACUGACGAUGAGGUGCGAAAGCGUGGAGAGCAAACAGG
This 404-nucleotide ribosomal RNA is filed under the name Actinomycetes bacterium. RNAcentral describes it as "Actinobacteria bacterium partial 16S ribosomal RNA". It matches the Rfam family "Bacterial small subunit ribosomal RNA", at positions 355 to 776 of the family's 1533-position model. Lineage: Bacteria; Bacillati; Actinomycetota; Actinomycetes. The record is from RNAcentral.